Molecule: ribosomal RNA, 503 nt
Filed under: uncultured bacterium
Lineage: Bacteria
Description: partial 16S ribosomal RNA
Rfam family: Bacterial small subunit ribosomal RNA
Source: RNAcentral
GAUGAACGCUAGCGGCAGGCCUAACACAUGCAAGUCGAGGGGUAGCAGGAUUAAGCUUGCUUAAUUGCUGACGACCGGCGCACGGGUGCGUAACGCGUAUGCAACCUACCUUAUACUGGGGUAUAGCCCGGAGAAAUUCGGAUUAAUCCCCCAUAGUACUAAUGAAUCGCAUGGUUUAUUAGUUAAAGCAUUGCGGUAUAAGAUGGGCAUGCGUCCUAUUAGCUAGAUGGUGAGGUAACGGCUCACUAUGGCUACGAUAGGUAGGGGGCCUGAGAGGGUGGUCCCCCACACUGGUAAUGAGACACGGACCAGACUCCUACGGGAGGCAGCAGUGAGGAAUAUUGGUCAAUGGGCGCAAGCCUGAACCAGCCAUGCCGCGUGCAGGAAGAAUGCCCUAUGGGUUGUAAACUGCUUUUAUUUGGGAAUAAACCUCUUUACGUGUAGAGAGCUGAAGGUACCAAAUGAAUAAGCACCGGCUAACUCCGUGCCAGCAGCCGCCGUAA